UACGUAGGGUGCGAGCGUUAAUCGGAAUUACUGGGCGUAAAGCGUGCGCAGGCGGUGAUGUAAGACAGAUGUGAAAUCCCCGGGCUCAACCUGGGAACUGCAUUUGUGACUGCACGGCUGGAGUGCGGCAGAGGGGGAUGGAAUUCCGCGUGUAGCAGUGAAAUGCGUAGAUAUGCGGAGGAACACCGAUGGCGAAGGCAAUCCCCUGGGCCUGCACUGACGCUCAUGCACGAAAGCGUGGGGAGCAAACAGG
RNAcentral lists this ribosomal RNA (253 nucleotides) under uncultured bacterium. Its description in RNAcentral is "partial 16S ribosomal RNA". It matches the Rfam family "Bacterial small subunit ribosomal RNA", at positions 524 to 776 of the family's 1533-position model. The record is from RNAcentral.